GUGCUCACUACAGCAACACAUAUGCUAAAAUUGGAACAAUAUGGAGAAGAUUAGAAUGACCCCUGCGCAAGGAUGACACGCGGAUUUGUAAAGCCUUCCAUAUUUUG
Small nuclear RNA from Molossus molossus (Pallas's mastiff bat), 107 nucleotides. NCBI's taxonomy places the organism in Eukaryota, Metazoa, Chordata, Mammalia, Chiroptera, Molossidae. The record is from RefSeq and is a predicted model, not a curated record.